CAGUCGCCGCGGGAAUACGUAGGGAGCAAGCGUUGUUCGGAUUUACUGGGCGUAAAGGGCGCGUAGGCGGCGCGGUAAGUCACUUGUGAAAUCUCUGAGCUUAACUCAGAACGGCCAAGUGAUACUGCUGUGCUAGAGUGCGGAAGAGGCAACCGGAAUUCUUGGUGUAGCGGUGAAAUGCGUAGAUAUCAAGAGGAACACCUGAGGCGAAGGCGGGUUGCUGGGCCGACACUGACGCUGAUGCGCGAAAGCCAGGGGAGCAAACGGGAUUAGAUACCCCCGUAGUCCCUGUCUCUUAUAC
RNAcentral lists this ribosomal RNA (301 nucleotides) under uncultured bacterium. Its description in RNAcentral is "partial 16S ribosomal RNA". It matches the Rfam family "Bacterial small subunit ribosomal RNA", at positions 509 to 807 of the family's 1533-position model. The record is from RNAcentral.